RNAcentral lists this ribosomal RNA (540 nucleotides) under uncultured archaeon. Its description in RNAcentral is "bacterial SSU rRNA". It matches the Rfam family "Archaeal small subunit ribosomal RNA", at positions 460 to 997 of the family's 1478-position model. The record is from RNAcentral.
AGCAGGCCGCGGUAACACCGGCGGCCCGAGUGGUGAUCGUGAUUAUUGGGUCUAAAGGGUCCGUAGCCGGUUUGGUCAGUCCUCCGGGAAAUCUGAUAGCUCAACUAUUAGGCUUUCGGGGGAUACUGCCAGACUUGGAACCGGGAGAGGUAAGAGGUACUACAGGGGUAGGAGUGAAAUCUUGUAAUCCCUGUGGGACCACCUGUGGCGAAGGCGUCUUACCAGAACGGGUUCGACGGUGAGGGACGAAAGCUGGGGGCACGAACCGGAUUAGAUACCCGGGUAGUCCCAGCCGUAAACGAUGCUCGCUAGGUGUCAGGCAUGGCGCGACCGUGUCUGGUGCCGCAGGGAAGCCGUGAAGCGAGCCACCUGGGAAGUACGGCCGCAAGGCUGAAACUUAAAGGAAUUGGCGGGGGAGCACAACAACGGGUGGAAGCCUGCGGUUUAAUUGGACUCAACGCCGGACAACUCACCGGGGGCGACAGCAAUAUGUAGGCCAAGCUGAAGACUUUGCCUGAAUCGCUGAGGAGUGGUGCAUGG